Molecule: ribosomal RNA, 516 nt
Filed under: uncultured bacterium
Lineage: Bacteria
Description: partial 16S ribosomal RNA
Rfam family: Bacterial small subunit ribosomal RNA
Source: RNAcentral
GACGAACGCUGGCGGCGUGCCUAAUACAUGCAAGUCGAGCGGAGUGGAUAGAAAGCUUGCUUUCUUGAGGCUUAGCGGCGGACGGGUGAGUAACACGUAGGCAACCUGCCCUUUAGCCUGGGAUAACUACCGGAAACGGUAGCUAAUACCGGAUACUUUCAAUUCUCGCAUGGGAAACGAACGAAAGACGGAGCAAUCUGUCACUGAAGGAUGGGCCUGCGGCGCAUUAGCUAGUUGGUGGGGUAACGGCUCACCAAGGCGACGAUGCGUAGCCGACCUGAGAGGGUGAUCGGCCACACUGGGACUGAGACACGGCCCAGACUCCUACGGGAGGCAGCAGUAGGGAAUCUUCCGCAAUGGGCGAAAGCCUGACGGAGCAACGCCGCGUGAGUGAUGAAGGUUUUCGGAUCGUAAAGCUCUGUUGCCAGGGAAGAACGUCCGGUAGAGUAACUGCUACCGGAGUGACGGUACCUGAGAAGAAAGCCCCGGCUAACUACGUGCCAGCAGCCGCAGUAA